GAAAGUCUGACGGAGCAACGCCGCGUGAACGAAGAAGGUCUUCGGAUUGUAAAGUUCUGUGAUUCGGGACGAAAGGGUUUGUGGUGAAUAAUCAUAGACAUUGACGGUACCGAAAAAGCAAGCCACGGCUAACUACGUGCCAGCAGCCGCGGUAAUACGUAGGUGGCAAGCGUUGUCCGGAAUUAUUGGGCGUAAAGCGCGCGCAGGCGGUUUCUUAAGUCCAUCUUAAAAGCGUGGGGGCUCAACCCCAUGAGGGGAUGGAAACUGGGAAGCUGGAGUAUCGGAGAGGAAAGUGGAAUUCCUAGUGUAGCGGUGAAAUGCGUAGAGAUUAGGAAGAACACCGGUGGCGAAGGCGACUUUCUAGACGAAAACUGACGCUGAGGCGCGAAAGCGUGGGGAGCAAACAGGAUUAGAUACUCUGGUAGUCCACGCCGUAAACGAUGGAUACUAGGUGUAGGAGGUAUCGACCCCUCCUGUGCCGGAGUUAACGCAAUAAGUAUCCCGCCUGGGAAGUACGAUCGCAAGAUUAAAACUCAAAGGAAUUGACGGGGGCCCGCACAAGCGGUGGAGUAUGUGGUUUAAUUCGACGCAACGCGAAGAAC
RNAcentral lists this ribosomal RNA (602 nucleotides) under Dialister pneumosintes. RNAcentral describes it as "bacterial SSU rRNA". It matches the Rfam family "Bacterial small subunit ribosomal RNA", at positions 377 to 969 of the family's 1533-position model. Lineage: Bacteria; Bacillati; Bacillota; Negativicutes; Veillonellales; Veillonellaceae. The record is from RNAcentral.